GUGCAAUGAGGAAAACACAUCUGUGCUCCAGAGAAGAGAUGAAUAUCUCUUCUGUGACGGCUGUACAACCUCUAAGAAGUUCUGAGCAC
Daucus carota subsp. sativus is the source of this 89-nucleotide non-coding RNA. The record is from Rfam. NCBI's taxonomy places the organism in Eukaryota, Viridiplantae, Streptophyta, Magnoliopsida, Apiales, Apiaceae.